GACGAACGCUGGCGGCGUGCCUAAUACAUGCAAGUAGAACGCUGAAGGAAGGAGCUUGCUCUUUCCGGAUGAGUUGCGAACGGGUGAGUAACGCGUAGGUAACCUGCCUGGUAGCGGGGGAUAACUAUUGGAAACGAUAGCUAAUACCGCAUAACAGUAGAUAUCGCAUGAUAGCUGCUUGAAAGGUGCAAUUGCAUCACUACCAGAUGGACCUGCGUUGUAUUAGCUAGUUGGUGAGGUAACGGCUCACCAAGGCAACGAUACAUAGCCGACCUGAGAGGGUGAUCGGCCACACUGGGACUGAGACACGGCCCAGACUCCUACGGGAGGCAGCAGUAGGGAGUCUUCGGCAAUGGACGGAAGUCUGACCGAGCAACGCCGCGUGAGUGAAGAAGGUUUUCGGAUCGUAAAGCUCUGUUGUAAGAGAAGAACGAGUGUGAGAGUGGAAAGUUCACACUGUGACGGUAUCUUACCAG
Molecule: ribosomal RNA, 476 nt
Filed under: Streptococcus infantis
Lineage: Bacteria; Bacillati; Bacillota; Bacilli; Lactobacillales; Streptococcaceae
Description: bacterial SSU rRNA
Rfam family: Bacterial small subunit ribosomal RNA
Source: RNAcentral